AAUGGCAGCGCCCACGCCCACUCCCACGCCCAGCGCAGCUACUAUCCCUGCUAUCCACACUAAGACUCCAGUGACUGUCAAAGAAGGCACUGACGAGGGAGGGAGAGAGAGGGAGUAGAACAUGUCAAUCGAGCUCCCACUGUUGCAUUCCAGCCUAUGACAUCCAUGUCGUAAGGUGUACGACAGGUUGCUGUGGCUGGGUCUCCGUACUUCACCACCAGACCGGGGGGGUCCACGAUGGGCUUCCCUGCGAUGCACUCCUGGUCUGGCCCCAAAACAAAAGACUUGGAUGCGGACACAGAAGGAGGGACUAUGAUGGAAGUGACGUCAUGUGGGUAAGGGUUCACUCGGACACAUGUAUUGUUGUACUCUUCACUCUGAGUGAUAGACUUGAGAUGCCGACUCGCGGUCAGUUUGUAUGCAGCCAGCGAGUUUGACGGUGGACUAAAGAUGAAUUAAAGAAACAAAAUAAACCCAUCAGUAAUUGAAGAACUUUGGCCUUGCGUGUUUCCUGGAGGGAGUGAAACGGACUCCUCCCAAACAUACAUCUACAGAGCAACUCCCCCAUGCCAAUGGAAUGACUCUCUUGUGCCCUGGGCACCCAGCAUGAAGGCAAGCCCAGCGUAACCUUUGUUUCUUUGAACUUAAAAAAAGUAAGUUGUUAUGGUGUAAAAUCAUUGCAGGUUUUUAAGGGAUUAUGAGGAUUGGAUCCAUUCUCAUUUUUAGAACCCUCCAUUCAACCUAACCUAACCAUAACCUAAACGCACGCACCCAAAAUAAUCACAUCUGUUGACUUCAAAUCUGUGAGAGUGUAAAAGAAAGAAAGAAAGAGAGAGAGAAAGAAAGAAAAAAGAGGCCACUAGAGAAACAACUGCUAAAAUAAAAAAUAAAUAAAUUUCCUUUCAAACGAAUCAAGCCUU
Molecule: long non-coding RNA, 920 nt
Organism: Alosa alosa (allis shad)
Lineage: Eukaryota; Metazoa; Chordata; Actinopteri; Clupeiformes; Clupeidae
Exons: 4
Source: RefSeq, a predicted model, not a curated record